AGGGAUUUAGGAUAGCACCAGACCGGGAGCCUUCAAAGCUCUAAGCAGAAGUGAAAAUCUUCUAAUCCCUG
Molecule: transfer RNA, 71 nt
Filed under: Pimephales vigilax (bullhead minnow)
Lineage: Eukaryota; Metazoa; Chordata; Actinopteri; Cypriniformes; Leuciscidae
Description: tRNA-Trp
Rfam family: tRNA
About the family: Transfer RNA (tRNA) molecules are approximately 80 nucleotides in length. Their secondary structure includes four short double-helical elements and three loops (D, anti-codon, and T loops).
Source: RNAcentral